GAAUAAGAAGGUCCGGCUAACUUCGUGCCAGCAGCCGCGGUAAUACGAAGGGACCUAGCGUAGUUCGGAAUUACUGGGCUUAAAGAGUUCGUAGGUGGUUAAAAAAGUUGGUGGUGAAAUCCCAGAGCUUAACUCUGGAACUGCCAUCAAAACUUUUUAGCUAGAGUAUGAUAGAGGAAAGCAGAAUUUCUAGUGUAGAGGUGAAAUUCGUAGAUAUUAGAAAGAAUACCAAUUGCGAAGGCAGCUUUCUGGAUCAUUACUGACACUGAGGAACGAAAGCAUGGGUAGCGAAGAGGAUUAGAUACCCUCGUAGUCCAUGCCGUAAACGAUGUGUGUUAGAUGUUGGAAAUUUAUUUUCAGUAUCGCAGCGAAAGCAAUAAACACACCGCCUGGGGAGUACGACCGCAAGGUUAAAACUCAAAUGAAUUGACGGGGACCCGCACAAGUAGUGGAGCAUGUGGUUUAAUUCGAAGAUACGCGCAGAACCUUACCAACACUUGACAUGUUCGUUUCGACUCUAAGAGAUUAGAGUUUUCGGUUCGGCCGGACGAAACACAGGUGCUGCAUGGCUGUCGUCAGCUCGUGUCGUGAGAUGUUGGGUUAAGUCCCGCAACGAGCGCAACCCUUACUUUUAGUUGCCACCAUUUAGUUGGGCACUCUGAAAGAACUGCCAGUGAUAAGCUGGAGGAAGGUGGGGAUGACGUCAAGUCCUCAUGGCCCUUAUGUGUUGGGCUACACACGUGCUACAAUGGCAUUUACAAUAGGAAGCAAGAUGGUGACAUUAAGCAAAUCCUAAAAAAAUGCCUCAGUUCGGAUUGUACUCUGCAACUCGAGUACAUGAAGCUGGAAUUACUAGUAAUCGCGGAUCAGCGCGCCGCGGUGAAUACGUUCCCGGGUCUUGUACACACCGCCCGUCACACCAUGGGAGUUGGUUCUACCUUAAGGCAAGGU
This 951-nucleotide ribosomal RNA is filed under the name uncultured prokaryote. Its description in RNAcentral is "bacterial SSU rRNA". It matches the Rfam family "Bacterial small subunit ribosomal RNA", at positions 481 to 1433 of the family's 1533-position model. The record is from RNAcentral.